ACGGAAGGAGACCUCUCUCUCCCCGGCUGCCUGGGAGCUGGUAUAAAACACCACCUAAAGGAGACGCUGGAGAAGGGAGCUCAGGACUCACGUUUGCCUAAGAGCAGUGACACAGUUGUUCGUCGUUUAGAAGCCUUUGGGACAUUUUUGUUGCAAAGGAGAUAUUUUUGUUCCAUCUCAUAGUUAUGCAUACAGUCGUGUUGAACAUCAAAAGGAGCCUGAUCUCGGCAGCAGCCGCCGCAUGACCCUGGGCACGUGAUUUACACCCUCCCCAGGCCUCAGCUUGCUCGCCCAGAAAGAUGGCAUUUAAGUGUCAUUUGAGUUCGGACAAUUGAUUUCUACUCCACCUGAUGAGUCCAGAGCCAGAAGGCUUAAAGAGUUUCAAGAUGAGAUUUGUUUUCUUAAAGAGAAAACUUAAUAGCUUCCAAGUCAGACACAUCGAUGGACUUAGAACACCCAGAUGACUUCAAAUAACGAUUUGGCCCAUCUCCUUCAUCUGGAUGGUUAAGACUGCAUGUCAAAAGAAAACUUAAAAAAGGGGGGAAGUUAGAAAACCUUCCUUGGUCUGUUGAUAAUAAAACGAAUGGACAUGAACUUGAA
Long non-coding RNA from Hyaena hyaena (striped hyena), 600 nucleotides. RefSeq lists it as uncharacterized. Lineage: Eukaryota; Metazoa; Chordata; Mammalia; Carnivora; Hyaenidae. The record is from RefSeq and is a predicted model, not a curated record. The transcript has 2 exons.